Long non-coding RNA from Oryzias melastigma (Indian medaka), 958 nucleotides. RefSeq lists it as uncharacterized. NCBI's taxonomy places the organism in Eukaryota, Metazoa, Chordata, Actinopteri, Beloniformes, Adrianichthyidae. The record is from RefSeq and is a predicted model, not a curated record. The transcript is spliced from 2 exons.
GACCCAUGAAGACGUACAGAUCCAGGAUUCCACCGGUGGAUAUCCAAGUGAGAGCUGGAGUUGGCUGGAGGAUCACUUCUGCAGAGACGAGAUCAGAAUUGAUCAAUGAGAGUCAGAGACGUCCAGUUCAAGUCCAGGACCAGAGAGGUGUAAUGUUCCCCAAGGCCAGACACAAAUGAAGAGGCCAAUGUGGUGGACAUCUGCAGGUACUGGUCAGCAAACAGCAAAGGAGCGACUGUGGUGUUCAUACUGGACAAAAAAGGAGAUAAUUGGAGAUUGUGUACAAGUAAAAGUGAAAUGAUAACCUUUUAAAGCCCCACUCCAAUCAUAUUUUAAUCUAUUGUAAAAACGGUUGCCUUUUACAAAAUUUGCAUGAGUUGUGGGAAGGACCAUUGUUGCAGAGUGACGCCACCCCCACUUCCCAUCACCCAUCUGUUUAUGGGCUGUGCCACUAGCUUGCACCCCCUCACACCAUGCAAAAAAAAAUGGUGAGCAAUAUUGGAGCUAGUUCACCAGAGUUUUGAGUCAGAUCCCAGCACAGACCAAGAAAACGAAGAUCUAUUUGUCUGCGAGUGACAAGCUGUUUUAAAUGUUUUUUUUUUCUCCUUUUGAAUCAAAACAGUUUGAAUAAAUAAAUACUCAGAAUGUAAUUUUACAACCAAUUGUCUUUAUAUAAUAAAAGUCCUCCAUCAUGAGAAAAAUUCCGCGAAAACAUGUCAAAAACACAAUUUUCAUCAGAGUGGGUCAUUAAUUACCUAAGAAAAAGACUUUAUUAUGCUAUAAACAAAACAAACUUACAUCACUCUUCCAUUAGUUGCUCGCCGCACUAUGAAGCCAAAUGGUUCUUCCUGGAACUCGGUGGUAUAGAGGACGUCCUGAGCAUCAGCUUUGGUAUGAGACACUCCUUCUGGAAGUGGAACUUCAUACCGUUGAGUGGAGGGGUCCUUUAUCUUUGUAG